RNAcentral lists this ribosomal RNA (253 nucleotides) under uncultured bacterium. RNAcentral describes it as "partial 16S ribosomal RNA". It matches the Rfam family "Bacterial small subunit ribosomal RNA", at positions 524 to 776 of the family's 1533-position model. The record is from RNAcentral.
UACGAAGGGGGCUAGCGUUGCUCGGAAUCACUGGGCGUAAAGGGCGCGUAGGCGGCCAUUCAAGUCAGGGGUGAAAGCCCAAGGCUCAACCUUGGAAUUGCCUUUGAUACUGUUUGGCUUGAGACCGGAAGAGGUCGGCGGAACUGCGAGUGUAGAGGUGAAAUUCGUAGAUAUUCGCAAGAACACCAGUGGCGAAGGCGGCCGACUGGUCCGGUUCUGACGCUGAGGCGCGAAAGCGUGGGGAGCAAACAGG